AUGGUUCCCAUCGGCUGUAACAGCAACUCCAUGUGGAAGCAGUCCGGCCGUUCCAGUGGAGCGGCUGUUAUAGUCGGUGGGGGCUGC
Anolis carolinensis (green anole) is the source of this 87-nucleotide microRNA precursor. Ensembl annotates it as aca-mir-194-2. Its record names the gene aca-mir-194-2. The record is from Ensembl. NCBI's taxonomy places the organism in Eukaryota, Metazoa, Chordata, Lepidosauria, Squamata, Anolidae.